UACGGAGGGUGCAAGCAUUAAUCGGAUUUAUUGGGCGUAAAGGGCGCGUAGGCGGAUAUGAAAGUCAGAUGUGAAAUCCUGGGGCUCAACCUCAGAACAGCAUUUGAAACUCCAUAUCUAGAGGGUAGGCGGGGAAAACGGAAUUCCACAAGUAGCGGUGAAAUGCGUAGAUAUGUGGAAGAACACCGGUGGCGAAGGCGGUUUUCUAGCUUAAACCUGACGCUAAUGCGCGAAAGCAAGGGGAUCAAACAGG
Molecule: ribosomal RNA, 253 nt
Filed under: uncultured bacterium
Lineage: Bacteria
Description: partial 16S ribosomal RNA
Rfam family: Bacterial small subunit ribosomal RNA
Source: RNAcentral